RNAcentral lists this ribosomal RNA (456 nucleotides) under uncultured bacterium. Its description in RNAcentral is "partial 16S ribosomal RNA". It matches the Rfam family "Bacterial small subunit ribosomal RNA", at positions 355 to 822 of the family's 1533-position model. The record is from RNAcentral.
UGGGGAAUAUUGCACAAUGGGCGAAAGCCUGAUGCAGCGACGCCGCGUGCGGGAUGAAGGCCUUCGGGUUGUAAACCGCUUUUAAUUGGGAGCAAGCGAGAGUGAGUGUACCUUUUGAAUAAGCACCGGCUAACUACGUGCCAGCAGCCGCGGUAAUACGUAGGGUGCAAGCGUUAUCCGGAAUUAUUGGGCGUAAAGAGCUCGUAGGCGGUUUGUCACGCCUGGUGUGAAAGUCCAUCGCUUAACGGUGGAUCUGCGCCGGGUACGGGCAGGCUAGAGUGCAGUAGGGGAGAUUGGAAUUCCCGGUGUAACGGUGGAAUGUGUAGAUAUCGGGAAGAACACCAAUGGCGAAGGCAGAUCUCUGGGCUGUUACUGACGCUGAGGAGCGAAAGCAUGGGGAGCGAACAGGAUUAGAUACCCGUGGUAGUCCAUGCCGUAAACGGUGGAUGCCUGGAU